Oncorhynchus keta (chum salmon) is the source of this 728-nucleotide long non-coding RNA. RefSeq lists it as uncharacterized. Lineage: Eukaryota; Metazoa; Chordata; Actinopteri; Salmoniformes; Salmonidae. The transcript is spliced from 2 exons. The record is from RefSeq and is a predicted model, not a curated record.
UGGCUUGGGAGGGUAUGGGACAGGAAGGAGAGUACAAAGGUCACCUCAACACUCUGUCUCUGCUUCGUACCGUCAGGCACCCUGGUCAGGAAAGGUUGGGAGGGUUUGCGACAUCCAAAAGGAGUCCGUACCUAUGUCAGCCUUGUGAGGGUAUGACAAGGUCUCUGGGUCCCCUGGUAUGGUGGGGGUGAGCUGUUUUCUUUGAAGGGUUUCUUUGUCUUUGGUUCUUAGUUGAUCUUGGGUUGGUGAGAUCGGGUUGUCCUGUGUGGUCGGAGUAGGAGAGGGCCUAUUAUGCCCUUCGUAGAAGCCUGAACAGGGGUCUCUGUGUGAGGUGAAGUCGGCGUUCCAAUGAUGAGACUGGGCUGCUGGUCAACGAUUUUUAUCUGCUGGCCCUUCUGUGCGUUUCUUCUUUUAAUUGUUUAUGGGAGGUUUGGUGUCUAGAGGGUCCUGGAGUCCCACGGUGUGGGAUUAGCUGUGGGUCUAGUGGUCAACUGGGGGAUUCAUCCUGUGGUUCUGUCCAGCAAUCCCAUGUUUAGAUGGUGUUGACUGGGAAGAGAGUAUGGGGGUAGGUGGUAACAGAGUUAUAACCUGUUCCUGCUGAUUAUCAUUCCAUACCACCCAGGUCUGGGUAUGGGAUGGAGAUGAAAAUGCAGAGGCCACCUUAACACUCUGCCUCUGCUCCGUUCCCUCAAUCACCCUGGUCAGGGUAUGAUGUGGGGGAAGGUUAG